AGCGUUGCAGCGGCGGGUGAGCGCUAGUCUCUCAUAGAUAGUUUAGUGGUAAUAGAUCUCUCUUAAGUGAGCGGCCGUCUGAAUGCAGACAAUAAUCAGCAGAUGGGCCACCUGAAGUUUUUUUUCAAGUAUCAGACCCCGCAGUCGACACCGACGGAAACCUGCGAAUGAUAUACUAGAAUCCAUUGGCUUAGCAAUUGCUGAGACCUUGGAGGAAAGUUGGGAGGGGAUAGUUCGGAAAGAAGUAUGGGGAAGGACAAGGAACUAUCUUAGGAUGGGAGGAAGGGAGAAGGCCAGGAAAUGUUCACGAGCCCUGAUGUUAGGAAGCUACAUUACUCCGGAGUGCUAUAGGCAAAUUUUUAUUCCGGGAGAAUAAAAAGCAUGGGUUUUAUCCAGGAAUAACUACAUCAUGCGAGCGAAACUACGAGCAAAAGGUAGUGUUUUUAUAAAAUACAAACAAAUUGGGCCAAAAAAGCCCUCCUUCCAUAUCUUUCAUUAGCUGAACUAGGGUACAAUACUUACGCAGAGAAUGCUUACAUUAGCAAACCUAGGUAUAAAAAUUUGUUUAUUUUGUAUCAUGUUACAUAUUUUGCUGACAAUUUUUUUUUCAAUGAGUAGUUCAUCAGCAUCAUAUGUAGUUUUGUACAAAGUAGAUUUUAUUACCGAGCUAGCUUUAUUUAUUUUUAUAUUUACAAGAAUAUCGAUUGAUGUUAUACAAGUGAAAGAUGUUUUCGCGAUAAAUUUGUUUCCUCACGAUGUUUUUCUGUAUCGUAACAGUGAACGAUAAUCGAUAAGCAAUGUAUACCAAACUUUUAAAAGUCAGUUUUUUUUUAAAGCAGGCUAAACCACGGGGAAAUCUGCUAACGGGAUACUAGAAUCUUCCGGCCUAGCGACCGCAGAGGCCCGGAGGAGAGCGGAGAAGGAGGGGAAAUGAACAUUUCCCCUCCUUCUCUUCGUCUUCUCUUCUCUUCGCGAGCCCUCAUAGGCCUAAAUGUUAAUUUGCAACCAUGAUAUACAUAUCUGACUAUAUGCCUAGAGCUGCGACAAAUGUUCCUGUGUGUGGGUGUGCAUUCGGAGAA
This is a long non-coding RNA of Manduca sexta (tobacco hornworm), 1079 nucleotides long. RefSeq lists it as uncharacterized. Lineage: Eukaryota; Metazoa; Arthropoda; Insecta; Lepidoptera; Sphingidae. The record is from RefSeq and is a predicted model, not a curated record. The transcript has 3 exons.